CAAUAGCGUAUAUUAAAGUUGUUGCAGUUAAAAAGCUCGUAGUUGGAUUUCUGGUGGGAGCGAUCGGUCUGGCGCUUAGCGCGAGUACUUGCAUCGUCUCCGGCCAUCCUUGGGGAGAGUUUGUCUGGCAUUAAGUUGUCGGGCAGAGGAUCCUCAUCGUUUACUGUGAAAAAUUAGAGUGUUCAAAGCAGGCUUAUGCCGUUGAAUAUAUUAGCAUGGAAUAAUAAGAUAGGACUUUGGUACUAUUUUGUUGGUUUCUAGAGCUGAGGUAAUGAUUAAUAGGGAUAGUUGGGGGCAUUCGUAUUUAACUGUCAGAAGUGAAAUUCUUGGAUUUGUUAAAGACGGACUACUGCGAAAGCAUUUGCCAAGGAUGUUUUCAUUGAUCAAGAACGAAAGUUAGGGGAUCGAAGACGAUCAGAUACCGU
Molecule: ribosomal RNA, 425 nt
Filed under: uncultured eukaryote
Lineage: Eukaryota
Description: bacterial SSU rRNA
Rfam family: Eukaryotic small subunit ribosomal RNA
Source: RNAcentral